RNAcentral lists this ribosomal RNA (833 nucleotides) under uncultured bacterium. RNAcentral describes it as "bacterial SSU rRNA". It matches the Rfam family "Bacterial small subunit ribosomal RNA", at positions 535 to 1366 of the family's 1533-position model. The record is from RNAcentral.
CGAGCGUUGUCCGGAAUUACUGGGCGUAAAGGGCUCGUAGGUGGUUUGUCGCGUCGUCUGUGAAAUUCCGGGGCUUAACUCCGGGCGUGCAGGCGAUACGGGCAUAACUUGAGUACUGUAGGGGUAACUGGAAUUCCUGGUGUAGCGGUGAAAUGCGCAGAUAUCAGGAGGAACACCGAUGGCGAAGGCAGGUUACUGGGCAGUUACUGACGCUGAGGAGCGAAAGCAUGGGUAGCGAACAGGAUUAGAUACCCUGGUAGUCCAUGCCGUAAACGGUGGGCGCUAGGUGUGAGGGUCUUUUCACGACUUUCGUGCCGUAGCUAACGCAUUAAGCGCCCCGCCUGGGGAGUACGGCCGCAAGGCUAAAACUCAAAGGAAUUGACGGGGGCCCGCACAAGCGGCGGAGCAUGUGGAUUAAUUCGAUGCAACGCGAAGAACCUUACCUGGGCUUGACAUACACUGGAUCGGGCUAGAGAUAGUCUUUCCCUUUGUGGCUGGUGUACAGGUGGUGCAUGGUUGUCGUCAGCUCGUGUCGUGAGAUGUUGGGUUAAGUCCCGCAACGAGCGCAACCCUUGUCUUAUGUUGCCAGCAUUUGGUUGGGGACUCAUGAGAGACUGCCGGGGUCAACUCGGAGGAAGGUGGGGAUGACGUCAAAUCAUCAUGCCCCUUAUGUCCAGGGCUUCACACAUGCUACAAUGGUCGGUACAACGCGCAGCGACACUGUGAGGUGGAGCGAAUCGCUGAAAGCCGGCCUUAGUUCGGAUUGGGGUCUGCAACUCGACCCCAUGAAGUCGGAGUCGCUAGUAAUCGCAGAUCAGCAAUGCUGCGGUGAU